Molecule: long non-coding RNA, 2526 nt
Filed under: Malus domestica (apple)
Lineage: Eukaryota; Viridiplantae; Streptophyta; Magnoliopsida; Rosales; Rosaceae
Description: long non-coding RNA (MDOM_LNC005512)
Source: RNAcentral
AGUCUUCCCCCAAUCCCAUCUCCUCCCUCCUCCUCCCUUCCCCAUAACCCACCUUCAACCCUAAUCCCCUUCCGUCCCCCUUAAACCCUAAUCCUAAUAUCCUUUCCCCCCGUCCAACAACGUCGUGCUCUUCUUCUUCCUCUUCUUAUUCUCUGUUCGUCGCAGGAAUCUCCUGGCGGACGAGCACACAGCUCCCCUGGGAGAAUGGCGUCGGUUGAAGGUAUCUGUCGUACUUCUGCUUUCUUCUCGGACUCGCUCGGGCAAGCCUUUGUCGGGCAGAUCUUGGUCGGGCAAGACACACUUCAGGCAAGGCUCGUCAGACAGUUCUGAAAGAGAAGGACAGAGUUAAUUUGAAAGGGUGCCUUGUGGGGCCUUAGAUGUAGGCCUUAAGGCUCACAAUCAAGAUUAACUUUGUCGUGCUCAGGCGUGCCACUGCCAUCUUCAGUAUGGCAGAUGUUGAAUGGGUGUUAAGCUUUGAUUGAAUAUGUAUACGCCCGAGAAACCAAGUUAGAUAUAACAGGUGCCUUUGUGAGGCCUUAGGUAUAGGCCUUGAGACUUCCUGUCAAACUAAACCAGCGCUUGGAUGUAUCAUAUUUGGUCUUUUAUGGUUGCCAGAGUCUUAUCACUAUUAUACUUUUGAUUAUCUGAAUCCAAAAGGUAGGACGAACCCAAAUGAGUGCCUUUGUAGGGCCUUAGGUAUAGGCCUUGAGGCUUCCCAUCAGAGUUAAUCCUUAUACUCGGACCAAUUAGACCACAACAUGAAAUUAAGCUAAAUAGAUGCCUUCGUGGGGCCUUAGGUGUAGGCCUUGAGGCUUUCUAUCAGAAUUCACUCCCUGCUUAAGCCUUUUCUACGAAUCAAGAUAUAAUAGCAACAAAACGGAGAAAUAGAUUAAUUACUUGCGCCCCAAGUAACUUCGGACUUCUCGCUUAUCAAGGAUUGUCGUGGAUGGGUUGAGUCCACAUAGAGUUCUUUUUUAUGCCUUGAGGCCAAGGACUUUUAAACUGAUCUUUAAAUUACACGCCCGCCGGGCUUAAGACUUAGAUCUGAUUUGAACUUUGACACGAUUCAGAUCGGAUCCAAGUGCUGAAGACUUAUUUUCAUUAUGACUUUGCUAGAAAUAACUUGUAUAUAACUGGGAAUAUAUAACAUGUUAUUGUGCUUUUAAAAGAAAGAAAAGACAAAGACAGAGCAAAGAUAGUCGGGUAAGUCUGAACCUUAUCGGCCAAGGCUGAACUUCUUACAAAAUCUAUCUUUGUGGCUCUGUCAGAGGUCUGAAAGCUUUUAGAGGGGUUGACGGGGGAGAAGAGGAUACAAAAUGAAUCGAUACCACCAUGAACAAGGUAGCAGAGCUAUUACAGGGGUUUGGGAAGGUUUAUCCCGAAUGGGAUGAAGGCUUGUGCUGACUACAGCUUCGUUGAAGGCAAAUCUGGCUUGAGCAGAGUUUUGGCUUUUGUUUGUUUGUUUGAGUGUCCUUAAUUCUGUCUUCUCUUCCUCCUUUUAUAGACGACUUCAGCUUGGGCUCCUGUAGCAAUAGCGGUUGCCCGAAUGCGGUUUGGUGAUGACUCACUAGCUUUUUUACAUGAAUGUCACCAAUAAAGUACUUUAUUGGGCUGUGCAGUGACUGAAUAACCUACCCCCUGUGGUCUUUGAGCAGGUAAGCAGGUGGCCUUUGUAACUUGUGCCCAGCCGAAAGCCUCUUUCCUGCCUCCUAAGUUUUCCUCUGGGCCUUGGGUUUGGGCCGGCUUUCUCUCUGGCCCAAAGUUCAGAUUUUAUUCCAAACAUUCUCUUUAUCAUAUUAAUAUUCAUAACUCCUCUUUUGCUAUAAGCCAUCGUCGUCUCCGCCGCAUAGCUUGCUCCGCCACCGCGACGCCUUCUCCCCUCUCUGUCAAAGUAAAGUUUCCAUCUUUUUUCAUAUAAUUCUCCAAAUAUCCAAUCUUUACUUGUUCUUCAAUUCUCUGAAUCUGUUUUCAAUUUUUUCUUUGAUUUUCUCUGGUGCCAAACAAAUCGCUGCUCUCCUACUAUUUAAAUUUUGUGUCUUUCAAUUGGCUUUGGUUUGUUGCAUUGGAUCUCAGAUUCGGAUUCGAGGAUUGCGAGCUUAAUUACAUAUGUUUUUGUUCAUUGCUAUGAAUAUUUUGAUUUAUCGAUGUGUGAGUGGUUGUGGAAACAAAUUGCGGAUUUAGGAAGAACCGAUCCUGGCCCUUGUAGAUGAGGAAGAACCAGUCAUCGACAUCUGCAGUACCCGAGAUGGCGUCGUUGUAUAUUACCCCAAAGCGGAGAUCGGUCUGGAGGAGGGAGUGCAUCAUAGUAGAACUCGAAUAUCUGGAGGGGGAGGAUGGCGCCCGGGAAAAGGACAAGGGGCAAGGGGAAAAUGGGGAGCUCAACGACGUCGCCUGAUUUGGGUUGAUUGGUGGGGUGGCGCUCAGAGAAUGAGGAGGCUAUGCAUUUGAGGGAUUCGGGUCAUUGGCGGCGGCGGCGAUGGAGGCGGGAGGGGGGGGAGGAUAUUAGGGUUAGGGUUUAAGGGGGAC